GACGAACGCUGGCGGCGUGCCUAAUACAUGCAAGUAGAACGCUGAAGAGAGGAGCUUACUCUUCUUGGAUGAGUUGCGAACGGGUGAGUAACGCGUAGGUAACCUGCCUCGUAGCGGGGGAUAACUAUUGGAAACGAUAGCUAAUACCGCAUAACAAUGGAUGACACAUGUCAUUUAUUUGAAAGGGGCAAUUGCUCCACUACAAGAUGGACCUGCGUUGUAUUAGCUAGUAGGUGAGGUAAUGGCUCACCUAGGCGACGAUACAUAGCCGACCUGAGAGGGUGAUCGGCCACACUGGGACUGAGACACGGCCCAGACUCCUACGGGAGGCAGCAGUAGGGAAUCUUCGGCAAUGGGGGCAACCCUGACCGAGCAACGCCGCGUGAGUGAAGAAGGUUUUCGGAUCGUAAAGCUCUGUUGUAAGUCAAGAACGGGUGUGAGAGUGGAAAGUUCACACUGUGACGGUAGCUUACCAGAAAGGGACGGCUAACUACGUG
Molecule: ribosomal RNA, 497 nt
Filed under: uncultured bacterium
Lineage: Bacteria
Description: partial 16S ribosomal RNA
Rfam family: Bacterial small subunit ribosomal RNA
Source: RNAcentral